RNAcentral lists this ribosomal RNA (445 nucleotides) under uncultured bacterium. RNAcentral describes it as "SSU rRNA". It matches the Rfam family "Bacterial small subunit ribosomal RNA", at positions 26 to 518 of the family's 1533-position model. The record is from RNAcentral.
AGAGCGAACGCUGGCGGCAGGCUUAACACAUGCAAGUCGAGCGGGCGUAGCAAUACGUCAGCGGCAGACGGGUGAGUAACGCGUGGGAACGUACCUUUUGGUUCGGAACAACACAGGGAAACUUGUGCUAAUACCGGAUAAGCCCUUACGGGGAAAGAUUUAUCGCCAAAAGAUCGGCCCGCGUCUGAUUAGCUAGUUGGUGAGGUAACGGCUCACCAAGGCGACGAUCAGUAGCUGGUCUGAGAGGAUGAUCAGCCACAUUGGGACUGAGACACGGCCCAAACUCCUACGGGAGGCAGCAGUGGGAAUAUUGGACAAUGGGCGCAAGCCUGAUCCAGCCAUGCCGCGUGAGUGAUGAAGGCCCUAGGGUUGUAAAGCUCUUUUGUGCGGGAAGAUAAUGACGGUACCGCAAGAUAAGCCCGGCUAACUUCGUGCCAGCAGCCGC